This 265-nucleotide long non-coding RNA is filed under the name Medicago truncatula (barrel medic). Its description in RNAcentral is "lncRNA gene9781". The record is from RNAcentral. Lineage: Eukaryota; Viridiplantae; Streptophyta; Magnoliopsida; Fabales; Fabaceae.
AUGUCUCUACAGAGGAGUUGUCUGAACCUCUUAAGAAGUUUGCAAAUGAGCUCUCAUCACAUAGUGUUCCUACCAAUGUUGAAGAGGCUCUUGAAGACCCGAGAUGGAUUCAAGCUAUGAAUGAAGAAAUGGAGGCAUUAAAUAAGAAUACAACAUGGAAUCUUGUACCUCUACCAAAGGGGAAGAAACCUGUAGGUUGUAAGUGGGUUUUCUCGAUCAAGUAUAAAGCUGAUGGAUCUAUCGAAAGGUACAAGGCAAGACUAGU